CCUGCUACAUGCAAGGGAGAUAUUUGGGAAUACUGAGUAUUGCCCUAAAAUGGCCAAAGCCAUCACCUUAAAUACCAUCUUCAUCGAAAAACAGAAGAAGCUUAUGAUUAUUGUGCAGAUUUAAGUCUUAGUUUUCUCCAUUGAUAAGAAUUUCUUGAGAUUUAGUCUUCCUUCCAUUCCCAGUGCGGAGAGGGAGACAACCUUUCUAAUAAAGAUUUCCUUUGUAAUGCAAACUUCCCUCACAGAAGGGCCAUUUCGACUUGGUUUUCAAAGACUGUGUCAUAUGUCUUUUUAAAAAGAAGGGUGAUCAGCUCAAAAUAAUCCUAUGCCAAGAGGCAGGUGUAUUUUGGGGUGGCAUAUUCUGCCCCUUUGAUAUGGAUGAACCCCAAUUUGCUUAUGCUUUUUUCUACUGAAUUGCACCUCAAUUUAAGUUUAUAGCCAUCAUGAAUAGAGAUCCUUGGACAUACUUCUUCAAAGCAAUUGUCUAAAUACUGGAGGCACGAUGUUGGAUCUUCAGAUGAGCCUCAUUUAACUUUGGAAAAAACCUCCAAAAUAGUUUUUUAAAUAGCUGUAUGUGUUGCCUGGUGGCUCAGCAGGUUAAGGAUCCAGUGUUGUGAAAGCUGUGGAUGAGUUCAAUCCCUGGCCUGGGAACUUUAACUGGCCACUUGUGCAGCUGAAAAUAAAGUAGCUGUUUAUGCAUUUCACCAGCAGCUAAGAGUUCCUGUUUCUUCCAGUAGGUGUGCAGUGCUAUUUCAUUGAUGUUUUAAUUUGUAAUUCCCUAAUAAUACAUGAUGCUGAGCAUAUUCUUAUAUGCUUAUUUAUUAUCUGUAAAUCUUUGGCCAGAUGUAGUUCCAGUCUUUACCACCUCCCUUUUUUUUGGCCGCUCCCGUGGCAUGUGGAAGUUCCCGGGCCAGGGAUCAAACCCCAGCCACAGCAGUGACCAUGCUGGGUCCUUAACUCCUAAGUCACCAGGGAAUGCCCCUUUACCCAUUUUUAAUGGUGUUUGUCCUAGAUUUCUUGGUGUAGUUUGAAUCCAGAUCUUUUUUAUCAGUUUGUGGAUUGGCUUUUGGUUUUCUGAAUAAAAUACUUAAUAGAGUUUAAAAUUUUAACUCUUUAAAGUCCAUGUUCAAAAUUUUAUUUCUUUUGUGGAUAGACUUUUGGGGUUUUAUGUUAAAAUUCAUCACCAAACCCAAGGUUAUGUAGAUUUUGUUAUGUUUUCAUCGACAAUUUUUACAGUUUUCCAUUUUAAAUUUGGAUAAUUUUGAGUGAAUUUUGGUGUGAGUUAUAAAGUGUGUGUCUUCUUUUGAUUUACAGGUGUAUUCCAAUUCUAUAAUUUUCAAGAAGUCUUGGAAUAUUUGGCUCUAUUUCAGUUUGAAUUUCCAAAUUUAGUGAUUUCUGCAGGCUUCCCCUGAACUGAGGUUCCCAGCUGGCCAGCAAGCGGAACCAAGCCCACCUCCCUGACCCUUGAACAGAAGUCCAACCUGUGAACUUGGUUCCUGGGGUAACAUGGCUCCAUGUGCCACUGAUAGAAGCUUGGUCUCUUUAGGAUCCACCAUGAGUUCAGCUUCAGGACAGCACUCAAUCAAGUCCAUGCAGACAGGAACCAGUUGUCUUUAGGAACUUCCAGAGGAGGCACCACCAUGGGAUUACAAGGGCACAACUCUGAGUCCACGAUACCAGAGUGAGGCCAGCACCUACACCUGAGGAAGGAGUUACUGAGCCACCCACUCAGUACACCUGUGACCUGACACAGACCUUAGGGGACUUUUGAAAAGGACAAAUUUACCAAGAGAUGUGGGGGAUAGGCUUAGUCAUUGGCUUCGUCAUUGCUCUUGCCUUACUUGGCUUGUGCUGCUGUGUCAGACAUCUCUGUCCACGCUGGACCCAGGGGAGACUAACACUGAAAGUAGGGUGAGCAGCCAUUAUUGUCUGUUCCUUCUUACCUUCUCUGCUCUCUUACAGCCAUCCACAUGGACUAGGACCUGAAUGUAGUAAUAAAUUUCUCGAAGCUUAUACCCCUGUACAAAAUCUGUCCUGGUGCUGGUCUCUCACCUCCCACCCACAAAGUAAUACCUAUGGAUUAAAGGUAUUAUUACAUUUUACCGCCAAAACGACAACCUCACUGCCACCUUACAUCCUAGGCCUGCUAAAUUUAUCCCUUUUGAAGUUCACACCUCGUCCCUAACACAGCUUCUCUGUUUGGACCCCACCCUCACAAUAACAUCUGUAGCAAAUACAGAGCACUCAUUCUGUAUUGCUGCCACUGCCCCGAUCAGUGGCUCCUACCAAAGGGAGGAACUUGUAGUAACACCCUGGGGCUUCUCUGGACUCUGAUCAGUGCUUCUUCCCUUACCCCACAGCUUAAGGGACCCAGGAUUGACUCCUAUGGAAAUCUCAACCCCUCAGUGCCCUCUGCACCAACGCACACAGGGACAAGAUUAGAGGUGUGUACUUGUUGGAGAGGGAAGAUAGCAAUUUGUCUGGCAUUUAGUAUAUGGCCCUCCUGAGGCCUGGGAGAGAACCAUUAGUCCAGAAUCCUCCCCCCGUGAUCCCAGCUGUGUAGGUAGGCUUCUCUCCCCACACUGCAGGGCAACCCCUCUUGGGCUAGCCACUCAGAGAGGUGGUGGUUCAACUCCUCAGAAAUGCACCAGGCAUGGGCUUCCCCCAGGUAACCUAUUCCUUUGUGGCCUGAGAGUAAACCAGUUGCCCCAUCAGAACAACCCCCAAAUCUUUCUCUUCUCUGGGAUGGGCUCAAGCCUACACCCUUGCUUACAUAAUACCCAGUUUUUAUACAGUGCACACUAGGCUGGCUAAGUCCUAGGAACCUAGAUCUAACCAUUCAUAAUGUCACCCAGCUUUGAGAUAAAAGGGCAGUAGGACUUAAUUCUGGCAGGAGUACGGAUUGCUCUGGUACCGGUGGCCCCCUGGGGAGCUUUCACAUAUCAUGAAACCACUUUACAGAAUCUCUCACAGGCCUUUGAGGACUUGUCUAAAAACAUGGGGUAUGCCUUUCAAGGGCCCUGUAUUUCUGUGGACUCACUAUCAAAUGUUGUUCCAACAGUACGCUAGCCCUUGACUAUCUCUAGGCUAGGCAAGAGGGAGUCUGCAGUUAUCUGUAAAACCUGCUGCAUGUAUGUCACUACCUCCAUCUAACCAGAUUUAAACAUAAGAGAUACAUGAACAAGCUCUAAGGCUGCAUAGAUCUAACACACAAGGUCCAUCUCCAGGAUCCAUCUGGAUAUGGGCAGACAGCCUCCCCGCUUAACAUGGGUUCUUCCAUUUCUUAGCCUACUAACUGCCUUUAUUCUUCUGCUUGUCUUGGAGCCUUGCCUCCUUAAAUGCCUUGUCACCUUUUUUAGUAAAUGACUUGAAGCCAUCAGACUUCAGAUGAUACUAAGACAAGGCUAUGUGCAGCUGGGACUGCAGCCUGGAGACAAAUCAGACUUAUCUGAGGCUAGUCAGGAACAGUUCUUCUCUAAUCCAGGGAGAAACCACACCCGUGUUCCUCAGGAAGCAGCUUCAGAAGAUAGACCGUCAGUCAGAGGGUCUGGAGAUGAGGAAGGUAUACAAAGAGACCAACAAAAACCAGAUGAACCAGGUGGAAUCAGGGUGAUGAGGAAUCUGACCUCCAACAGGCCCUGAGUCUCAUUCUACAUGGAUUUUACUACAUUAGCUACUAAAUGACACACCUACCAACAGCCAUGACCAGAAGAUGCAGAAAAAGAGGAUAAGGGAGUGGUACCCCAUUUCCAGGAAAGCCCUGCCCCUUCCCUGGUGGACUAGCUUCAUUCCUCCUCCCUUUGUCUUUUCUCUUUAAAAUCAAAUUCCUCUCACCACCUGGGUGAUAAGUUGAUCUGUGAACUAAGUUGCUGCUUCUUCAUUCUUUGGCCACAGACUAAAACCUGGGCUGCACUGAUCUCAGCUUUAGUUUUGGUUUUUAGCUACAUGAACUAGCCUCUAUUCUAGACUUUCUUUUAAUUCUUGUCCUUAUACCAAUAACAAGCAUUAUUGGAAGUAACCUUCCCCAAAGAAUCUUUGCAGUAUAUUUAUUACCCUGAUUUGGUAAAUCAGAAAAGGAAAACAUCUCUUCCUAAGACUCAUGGAAGCAGCUUCAGCUCCCAAAGCUUAAGUUCUACUUACACUAUUCCCUGAAUAACUGCUUGUAGGACAUUCACUUUAAGUGCUGUGUAAACAUUAAAAAAUGACGUCGUAGAAACUGAUAUUACUACAUACUUUGUGCAUUAUAUGCCCUUCCACAUAUAAGUUAGUACAUACGCUUUAUCUUAUAUAAUAUAUGCUCAUAUAAUCACAUUCUCAAUCCCA
This 4323-nucleotide long non-coding RNA is filed under the name Sus scrofa (pig). The record is from RNAcentral. Lineage: Eukaryota; Metazoa; Chordata; Mammalia; Artiodactyla; Suidae.